UUACAAAUCAGACUUUGGCAUCGUGAUCA
RNAcentral lists this non-coding RNA (29 nucleotides) under Rattus norvegicus (Norway rat). The record is from RNAcentral. Lineage: Eukaryota; Metazoa; Chordata; Mammalia; Rodentia; Muridae.